This 253-nucleotide ribosomal RNA is filed under the name uncultured bacterium. Its description in RNAcentral is "partial 16S ribosomal RNA". It matches the Rfam family "Bacterial small subunit ribosomal RNA", at positions 524 to 776 of the family's 1533-position model. The record is from RNAcentral.
GACGAACCGGACGAACGUUAUUCGGAAUCAUUGGGCUUAAAGUGUGCGUAGGCGGCCUUGUAGGUGAGGUGUGAAAUCCCACGGCUCAACCGUGGAACUGCGCUUCAAACCACAAGGCUUGAGUGAGGCAGAGGUAAGCGGAACUGAUGGUGGAGCGGUGAAAUGCGUUGAGAUCAUCAGGAACACCGGUGGCGAAGGCGGCUUACUGGGCCUUGUCUGACGCUGAGGCACGAAAGAUAGGGGAGCAAACGGG